GAAAUGAUUCUCAAAAUCUUCUUCUUCAUGUUGGGUUCUGGUGCAGAAGCUGGAGCAACAGUCUCAGCAGCUGCUAAUGAAGCCACUGGACUCCCUCCUCUAUACAGAGUGCUCUCCCCAUCCGCAACAUGGCGUAAUGAAGUAACAUGACAGGAGCACAGGCAGCAUGCUGUAGAGGAGGCAGGAGAGACAGAGGCAUGCAGGGAGGGAAAAAGCCUCCGUCUGUGAGCACCGUCCGUCUCCUCAUGCCUGGAAAGCUCUGGUGCCAUCUGUGGCCCUCUGGGGGACGGGGGAAGCCAUGCCCGUGCCACCGGCGACAAAGCCCCCUGUCAGCUCCCUGGAGCCAGGCGCAAUGAGGGAGGGAGGGAGGCCAUCUUGAGGGAAAUCUCACUGAAACAGCUAAGAUGGCUGGACUGGCACACGAGACAUGGCUGAGAACUUAAACUACACCCUUGUGAGAUGGUGAGAUGUUCAACUGCGGUAGGAGAGACCGGACAACCUCAGUGGGCUUUGCAGAAGAUCUUCUCUUGGAAAGAAGAAUUAAGCUUAUAUGGUGUAACAUUUCAGUGAAGAGAUGUCCUGCAUGUGUUUGGCUCAGCUUUUAAAAUGUUAAUGAACUUUUCUGUCUCAUUGUGCAUGUGUGGAGUCACAGUCUGUAGGGCAGAUGUGCUGAACGUGAGUUUUAUUGCUGCAGCUUUGGGGUCUACCUACUGGACUGUAAAUGUUCACUGUGGUAUAUUUUAUAUUUUGGAAAUGACUGUACAAAAUGUGCAAUUCUUUCACUUGUUUUGGACUCAAGAUCUGUGAAUAAACAUUUUAAAUAAA
Colossoma macropomum (tambaqui) is the source of this 825-nucleotide long non-coding RNA. RefSeq lists it as uncharacterized. The record is from RefSeq and is a predicted model, not a curated record. The transcript has 3 exons. NCBI's taxonomy places the organism in Eukaryota, Metazoa, Chordata, Actinopteri, Characiformes, Serrasalmidae.